CACAGAUACUGUGUGUGAAUGUCUUGCACACGCUUUGCAUGGCAUCGCAGCUGAAUACCAACGUGGAUGUCAGUUCUAAUACUUUUUCAUAUAAAUCUUCUUUUUCCAACACCUUUCAUAGCCGACCCCAUCACAGAAGCUGCCGUGGAGAGGGCCCCAUGUCACAGGGUUUGAGGAACUCCAUCCCACCAGCAACUGCUUGAGUGAGCUUGGAAGCAGAUUCUCCCCCAGACAAGCCUUCAGGUGGGACCACGCAGCCAGCCAGCCACACCUUGAUUUCAGCCUUGUACCACUCUGAACCAGAGAUGCCCUGCUCAGCAAUGCCUGAAUCCCUAACCCA
RNAcentral lists this long non-coding RNA (340 nucleotides) under Mustela putorius furo (domestic ferret). Its description in RNAcentral is "lncRNA (ENSMPUG00000024762.1)". Lineage: Eukaryota; Metazoa; Chordata; Mammalia; Carnivora; Mustelidae. The record is from RNAcentral.